This 324-nucleotide ribosomal RNA is filed under the name uncultured Chloroflexota bacterium. RNAcentral's name for it is "bacterial SSU rRNA". It matches the Rfam family "Bacterial small subunit ribosomal RNA", at positions 28 to 351 of the family's 1533-position model. Lineage: Bacteria; Bacillati; Chloroflexota. The record is from RNAcentral.
GAUAAACGCUGGCGGCGUGCGUAAAACAUGUAAGUCGAACGAGGGGAGGCCGCAAGGCCGAGCCUAGUGGCGGACGGCUGAAUAACGCGUAGGUGACUUGCCCUGAAGUGGGGAAUAACGAUUCGAAAGAAUCGCUAAUACCGCAUGUGGUUGUGCGUAUGGACGCGUGCAACUAAAGCCCGCAAGGGUGCUUCUGGAGAGGCCUGCGUCCGAUUAGCUAGUUGGUGGGGUAAUUGCCUACCAAGGCGACGAUCGGUAGCUGAUCUGAGAGGAUGAUCAGCCAGACUGGGACUGAGACACGGCCCAGACUCCUACGGGAGGCUG